CCUACGGGAGGCAGCAGUAAGGAAUAUUGGUCAAUGGACGAAAGUCUGAACCAGCCAUGCCGCGUGAAGGAUGAAGGCCCUCUGGGUUGUAAACUUCUUUUAUAGGGGACGAAAAAAGGGCAUUCUUGCUCACUUGACGGUACCCUAGGAAUAAGCACCGGCUAACUCCGUGCCAGCAGCCGCGGUAAUACGGAGGGUGCAAGCGUUAUCCGGAUUUACUGGGUUUAAAGGGUGCGUAGGUGGGUUGGUAAGUCAGCGGUGAAAUCUUCGAGCUUAACUCGGAAACUGCCAUUGAUACUAUCAAUCUUGAAUCAUCUAGAGGUAAGCGGAAUAUGUCAUGUAGCGGUGAAAUGCUUAGAUAUGACAUAGAACACCAAUUGCGAAGGCAGCUUACUAUGGG
RNAcentral lists this ribosomal RNA (400 nucleotides) under uncultured bacterium. Its description in RNAcentral is "bacterial SSU rRNA". It matches the Rfam family "Bacterial small subunit ribosomal RNA", at positions 338 to 735 of the family's 1533-position model. The record is from RNAcentral.